Molecule: non-coding RNA, 939 nt
Organism: Oryctolagus cuniculus (rabbit)
Lineage: Eukaryota; Metazoa; Chordata; Mammalia; Lagomorpha; Leporidae
Source: RefSeq, a predicted model, not a curated record
CAGCUACCACUCCAUCCAUUCGAGACAACAAACAAGCUCACACGGUGGGGAGGGAGAGUGUUGCUCUCUUCAUCCUUAAGAAGCCCACGAAAGAUACGAAAUCAGAAGUUACUCAAUUUGACCAUGUGACAUCAGGACAGAUACAGGUGGUAUCCUCAAUAAGCAGCAGAAUUAAACUCAGAACUCAGAUCGGCGACUACCGAGCCUGCCCAUGUACAGUCUUCUUGCUGGGCGGCAUCCUCUGACUCAGGGCUGUUAACUGGAUUGUUGCAGAUAUGAAUUUCAAGAGGUAGAAGAGAAGCGCCCUGAACUGGCUGAGUCUAGCCAAGCAAGUGUCUGUAGCCCUGAACCAGUCAAGGAGCUGUAUACCUUCCCAUGUACCUCAUACACACACACCCUCUGACCUUUCAUCUGCUCCUUCUAACUGAGAGUUGACAGCUAUUUCAUAAAUACUACAGCAGACGCUGGACGGUGUGUGAUGAACGGUUGAUCUGAGAAAAGAGACCAGGAGGAGAAGGAUGAGAAGUAGAACCACGUGAUUUGUCAUCCAAACUGGGAUACUUUGAGAGUGAAAGGAGAGAAGCUAUUCACAAUAAUAUGGGGAUGAGAGCGAGAAGAAGCAAUGCUUGGAAGCAAAUCAGGAAAAGUUCGCCAUACUGAAUUGAAUUUAAAAGCAAAGGAAGAGAAAUAAUAGAAAGAGACAGGAAAAUAAAAGGGAAAGAAGAGGAAAAGGAAGAGAACAGGGAAAUGAUUACCACUCCCUCUUGGAAACAAAGAACAAAUAACUCAAUGACUGUGUGGAGACAGGAUUGUCUUUGAACAGAGACAAACUUAGGAGGAGAAAGGAAGAAAUGACGAUCAUCAAAGCAAAGAAAAGAAGACUGAGGUGUCCAAGAAUACCGUGUUGGCUUUUGGUUUAUCAAUUAAAAUAAUGCAAAU